RNAcentral lists this long non-coding RNA (1955 nucleotides) under Phasianus colchicus (ring-necked pheasant). RNAcentral's name for it is "lncRNA (ENSPCLG00000013487.1)". Lineage: Eukaryota; Metazoa; Chordata; Aves; Galliformes; Phasianidae. The record is from RNAcentral.
AUGAGAUGGAAAUGCUGCUGGAAGCUGUAUGUGGGCAGCUGCAGUGAGACUUCUGUGUACCUGGCAAGAAAGGGGGUGCUGAGAUCUUCUUCAGGUCACUGUGUCCAGAGACGACAAAGGUCCAACAGCAGCUCCAUCACAGACUUCUCCCUCCUGACACUUGCAGAAACACGAGAGUUGCAGCUCCUGCACUUCCAGCUCUUCCUGGGCAUCUGCCUGAUUGCCCUCCUGGACUACAGCCUCUUCAUCACAGCUGUAGCCUGUGACCACCGCCUGGACUCCUCAACCUGGUCUGCAUCUCCUCCACUUGCCCCAAAGCCAUGGCCACUGCUCUCUUGGGCACCAGGAAUAUUUCAGGAUGUGUUGCCCAGGUCUUUCUCAUUUUCUUCUUGCUUACAGCACAGCACUCCCUUCUCACUGUCGUGUCACAUGAACGCUGUGGCCAUCUGCAAGCCUCCACACUGUGGGACUUUCCUGAGCUUGUGGCAAUAAGCACAAACUCCUGCCUUAGGGGAGUUUGAGCCAUUAUGACUGGCGUCUGUGUAGCAUUCGGGUGCUCUCUUUUUAUUCUGUUCUCCUCUGUGCAGAUCUUCUGUGAUGUGCUGGAGAUGUUCUCUGAGUACGGAUGACACAAAGCCUCCCUCACCUGGCCCUGCUCUCCCCGUUCAUCAGCACUGCUGUGUUUGCCUCCAUUAAGCCCCCCUCCAUCUCCACUCCGUCUCUGUAGCUGGUGGUGGCAGUUCUGUACUCAGUGGUGCCUCUAGCAAUGAAGCCCCUCAUAGACAGCGUGAGGAACCAGGAGCUCAGAGGUGCUCUUCAGAACGUGAUUUUACAGAUGUUUCGUAAUAGAGAUACCUUUAUCCUCUCCCUCCACAAGUGAUUUUUGAGGCAGACCUCAUCCUUAUUCCAUCAUCUUUAUUACAAUAGUUAUUGCCUACCUUUAUUGCCAUCAGCACGUACUGUGUUAUUAGAGAAAUGUUUGCAUUCAUUCUGCUUCUGCUGAGGAAUGAAACUACUCUGCUAGCUCCUGAGGCCGUGACAAACUCCAGGUCGGUGCUCUUAUCAUCUGCUUUAUUAAAUCUGAUCUCUACAACGUGCUGCCUGAAGACUUGGCUCUCCUUUCGGAGCUGGUGCCAACAACAGGGCUGAGCUGCUGCACCACAGAAAGUUUGUUGCUCCGUGGAUUUGGAAGAGAAAAAGCUCAUCACAGCACUGUGUGCUGUCAGACACUGAAGGUAGGAUUUAGGAGUAGUCUGUUGCUGCCCAGUAAUGGCAGAGAUGGUGAAUGGUCACUGAGGUGCAUCCUCGUGGCAGUCCCACGUGUGGCAGGACAGAAGAUAUCCACCAGGGAAGGAAUAUGGAGUUGUCUGGAGCUUCCAGGAGUUCUCUGUGGGCACUGUCUGCCAAGGAUGGGCAGUGACUGGAAGCCCACGAAGUGAGAGAUCAGUCCAGGUGGUUCCACUCAUAGGAUAGUGCCAUAGUAAGGUAUCCACAGGGAGAGAAGGACACUCAUUCCUUUGGGAUGGAAUGGAGUGGAUUAUUUUGUGGAUUAUCAGUGGAAUGGAGAGAGAUUAUUUUCAUUCCCAGGGAGAGAGACCUCCAGCUGCAGUCAGAAAUAUGCCUGGAAACUUGCAUCAUCCCUAGAAAGAUUCCCUCGCCUUUUAAAGCACUUGUAAUGACUGUCAAAGGAAGGAGGUUAGUAUUUGUGGCUGCAAACCAGUUGGGUCUACUUCUCAUGCUUUGUCGCAGCUGCCUGCAGGAGCGUUGAAAUUAUUUAGUUGAGUCUGAACUCGGGCUGUCCAGGAAGGCAAGAUUUCAGUGGGUCUAUCUUGGAUCUUCAGGUACAGCGUUCUCAGAGUCAACUUGCCUGUCUGACAUGAAGGGACUCCAGCACGGCCUGGCAGGAGGUCAUCAAGGAUCCCUGAAUAAAGAUUUCAGACAGCAGAGGAAGUGCA